UACGUAGGGUGCAAGCGUUGUCCGGAAUUAUUGGGCGUAAAGAGCUCGUAGGCGGUCUGUCGCGUCUGCUGUGAAAACUCAGGGCUUAACCCUGAGCUUGCAGUGGGUACGGGCAGACUAGAGUGCGGUAGGGGAGACUGGAAUUCCGGGUGUAGUGGUGGAAUGCGUAGAUAUCAGGAGGAACACCGGCGGCGAAGGCGGCCCUCUGGAUCGUUGCUGACGCUGAGACGCGAAAGCGUGGGGAGCGAACAGG
This 253-nucleotide ribosomal RNA is filed under the name uncultured bacterium. RNAcentral describes it as "partial 16S ribosomal RNA". It matches the Rfam family "Bacterial small subunit ribosomal RNA", at positions 524 to 776 of the family's 1533-position model. The record is from RNAcentral.